CCUGACCUUCUGAUCAGUAACCCAGAGCCUUUAACCACUGAGCCUGCCCAUUUAACCCAUGCUGAGAUGAAAUAAUUAGACGUGAAUGGACUAUUACACGUUUAAAAGGUUAUACAUGUACAUAAAUCAUCCACUACACCUAAAAUUCUUCAUUUCCCUUUCUUUGAAAUACUUUUUACUGCCUGUAGAUGGUGCCCCACGCUGUACUGCUGUGUGAACGCGACACGCUGAAUCCCAAAUAGCCCUAUAUUAUAAACAUAGUGCACUAGGUAGAGUGCAUCAUCCGUGAUUUUACAUGAUACGUAGUGCACUCGUGUAGGCGGCCAUUUUGUGAUAGGGCGUGCUCCGCGCGUGUUUACAUGUGGACUGACAGCGCCGUUGCUGUUCAGAGCAGCUUGCCUAGUAACCAAGCGGAAGUUGAAGUGUCCGAGUGGUCGCGCGCUGCCUUUUCGCCGGUGGAAAAGUUACGCCUGUGCACAUCACUCGAGGUCUUCACAGUAUCAAUCCUUGAAGAAACAUCACAGAACUCGUUGUUGACACCGAGGGCAAAGGUGAUCCAUUAUUAUCUUCGACAUUACCUGCCCAGUCACUGUGUGUUUUAUGGUUAACUGGUUUGUGAACGUGUGUUGCCUUGCGCAGUAGAUUUCCUGAUUGUUAACUUUCUUCUACUGCAAAGGUUGCUGCGUGACUCAUAUUUUUUCCUCUGUGAUAUCGAUGUGCAUCAAGGCUUUCUAUUGAGUUCAUUGCGAGGAUUCAUUGUCCUUGUAAUGGCUGCAGUUUAUGGAUUUGUCUCAGCUUGAGAUGGAUUACUAUCACCGUGUUUUCUUUUACUACAGCAGAGCAGCACCGAGUUUGGAAAUAGUUUGAACUUGGUAGUUGGAGUGUUUUUUUUUGUUUUGUUUUUUUUUUGCACUUUAAUUAGAUGAAAGCCUUGUACAAGGAAAAAAUCACCGACGGGGUGGUGUGGUGAAACCUGACAUGAAUACGAGUUACUGUUAGAACCUCAGAGUUGAUUAUUUUCCUAUGAGAAGUGUUUUAUUCAUCUUGUACCACAGAAAAUACCAACAGUUAUGAUUUGUUAUUCAUUAAAUGUAUAUUUAUUAAAAUGAUGGCAUUGUUUUAAUCCAUUUCUAGUUAGAUGUACACUUGCAUUUGGCAGACGCCCUUAUCCGGUGCGACAUACAUUUAUCUCAUCUAUAUAUCUGAGCAGUUGAGGGUUAAGGGCCUCGCUCAAGCGCCCAACAGUGGCAGCUUGGCCAAUUAAUAGUCCAGCAUCUUAGCCACGGAGCUACCACUGCCCCAAAAAAUGUUCAUUGCUUUGCAAUGUCUGUGGAAGACGUUUGGGAUAAUAUAGGAGAACUAAGCACUUCAUUCCCUGCUGAAAUUCAUUAUAUAUCUUUCCUCAUGUUUUUAAUUUUUUUAAGUGAAUACUCUAGAGGUACUGUCCAGUGCUGAAACUCUUUUCAUCCGUAUUAUGGAGGUAUUCUUAAUAAAAUGUUGGCGUAGACCCACCUACUUUAUAGUAAAAAAAAAAAACGGUUGGGAUGUUUACAGGGCCAGGCUUGAUGUAAAUGCCUACGUAUGUCGAUGAGAAGUUUCAUUUUUUUGACAAGCUUUCCUACAUCUCUCUGCCGUUCUCCCAUAUCAAGGUUGUCGGAGUUAUUUUUGGGCGUCCUCCUGUGAUGCCGAUCCCACUCGGGCAGCCUAUUUUUACUGCCUCUCACGUCUCGGACAGAACCCACGUCACCAAGCCUGACCACACUACAAUCUAUUUUCACCUCCCUCGGGCCUCGGAAAUUUUUUUAAAAUUUUUUUUUUUUAAUACUUUUUCCCCCAGACCUUCACCAUUUAGCAGAUAUUUAUUCCCCCUGUUGUUUUCUUC
This is a long non-coding RNA of Ictalurus punctatus (channel catfish), 1882 nucleotides long. The record is from Ensembl. Lineage: Eukaryota; Metazoa; Chordata; Actinopteri; Siluriformes; Ictaluridae.